CACCCAGGACGGUGGAUCACUCGGCUCGUGGGUCGAUGAAGAACGCAGCAAAUUGCGCGUCGACAUGUGAACUGCAGGACACAUGAACAUCGACGUUUCGAACGCACAUUGCGGUCCAUGGAUUCCAUUCCCGGGCCACGUCUGGCUGAGGGUCG
Molecule: ribosomal RNA, 155 nt
Filed under: Schistocerca americana (American grasshopper)
Lineage: Eukaryota; Metazoa; Arthropoda; Insecta; Orthoptera; Acrididae
Also listed under: 5 other names
Description: 5.8S ribosomal RNA
Rfam family: 5.8S ribosomal RNA
About the family: 5.8S ribosomal RNA (5.8S rRNA) is a component of the large subunit of the eukaryotic ribosome. It is transcribed by RNA polymerase I as part of the 45S precursor that also contains 18S and 28S rRNA. Functionally, it is thought that 5.8S rRNA may be involved in ribosome translocation.
Source: RNAcentral